RNAcentral lists this ribosomal RNA (363 nucleotides) under Theromyzon rude. RNAcentral describes it as "partial 12S ribosomal RNA". It matches the Rfam family "Microsporidia small subunit ribosomal RNA", at positions 752 to 1203 of the family's 1311-position model. The record is from RNAcentral. Lineage: Eukaryota; Metazoa; Annelida; Clitellata; Rhynchobdellida; Glossiphoniidae.
UAAUAACUUAUUAAUAGAGUUGGAAAAUACGAACAAUAGUUUAAACACCAAAGAAUUUGGCGGUAUCUUAUUUAAUUAGGGGAACCUGUCCCAUAAUCGAUAAUCCACGAAAGUCUUACCUAAUUUUGAAACUCAGUUAGUGUACUGCCGUCUCAAGUAUACCUUUAUGAGAGUAUACAAUAAAUUAUAAAUAAAUAGGACGUCAGGUCAAAGUGCUGCUUAUAAUUAGGAUGGAGAUGGGUUACAAACUUAAUAGAGAUAUGGAAAAAUAUAUUAAAUAUAUAUUUAAAAAGUGGACUUAAUAGUAAUUAAAUAAUAAUUUAAUGAAUAUAAUACUAAGAUAUGUACACAUCGCCCGUCACU